This 253-nucleotide ribosomal RNA is filed under the name uncultured bacterium. RNAcentral's name for it is "partial 16S ribosomal RNA". It matches the Rfam family "Bacterial small subunit ribosomal RNA", at positions 524 to 776 of the family's 1533-position model. The record is from RNAcentral.
UACGUAGGUGGCAAGCGUUGUCCGGAAUUAUUGGGCGUAAAGCGCGCGCAGGCGGUUUCUUAAGUCUGAUGUGAAAGCCCCCGGCUUAACCGGGGAGGGUCAUUGGAAACUGGGAGACUUGAGUGCAGAAGAGGAAAGUGGAAUUCCAAGUGUAGCGGUGAAAUGCGUAGAGAUUUGGAGGAACACCAGUGGCGAAGGCGACUUUCUGGUCUGUAACUGACGCUGAGGCGCGAAAGCGUGGGGAGCAAACAGG